RNAcentral lists this ribosomal RNA (1279 nucleotides) under metagenome. RNAcentral's name for it is "SSU rRNA". It matches the Rfam family "Eukaryotic small subunit ribosomal RNA", at positions 490 to 1790 of the family's 1831-position model. The record is from RNAcentral.
GUUCUUUUGGAUCUUGUGAUUGGAAUGAGUACAAUUUAAAUCUCUUAACGAGGAACAAUUGGAGGGCAAGUCUGGUGCCAGCAGCCGCGGUAAUUCCAGCUCCAAUAGCGUAUAUUAAAGUUGUUGCAGUUAAAAAGCUCGUAGUUGAAUUUCGGAAUCAAUAUAUCGGUCGUGCCUUGGUACGUACUGGUAUCAUUGGUUUCUCCUUUCUGACGAACCAUGAUGUCAUUAAUUUGGUGUUAUGGGAAGUUAGGACUGUUACUUUGAAAAAAUUAGAGUGUUUAAAGCAGGCUUUGGCUUGAAUACAUUAGCAUGGAAUAAUGAAAUAGGACGUUCGAACCUAUUUUGUUGGUUUCUAGGAUCAACGUAAUGAUUAAUAGGGAUAGUUGGGGGCAUUAGUAUUCAAUUGUCAGAGGUGAAAUUCUUGGAUUUAUUGAAGACUAACUACUGCGAAAGCAUUUGCCAAGGAUGUUUUCAUUAAUCAAGAACGAAAGUUAGGGGAUCGAAGACGAUCAGAUACCGUCGUAGUCUUAACCAUAAACUAUGCCGACUAGGGAUCGGAUGAUGUUAAUUUUUUAAUGACUCAUUCGGCGCCUUACGGGAAACCAAAGUGUUUGGGUUCCGGGGGGAGUAUGGUCGCAAGGCUGAAACUUAAAGGAAUUGACGGAAGGGCACCACCAGGGGUGGAGCCUGCGGCUCAAUUUGACCCAACACGGGGAAACUCACCAGGUCCAGACAUAGUAAGGAUUGACAGAUUGAGAGCUCUUUCUUGAUUUUAUGGGUGGUGGUGCAUGGCCGUUCUUAGUUGGUGGAGUGAUUUGUCUGGUUAAUUCAGUUAACGAACGAGACCUUAACCUGCUAAAUAGCUAGGCUUAACUUUGUUAGGUCGUCAGCUUCUUAGAGGGACUAUCGGUGUUUAACCGAUGGAAGUUUGAGGCAAUAACAGGUCUGUGAUGCCCUUAGAUGUUCUGGGCCGCACGCGCGCUACACUGAUGAAGUCAACGAGUUCAUUUCCUUUAUCGGAAGAUAUGGGUAAUCUUUUGAAACUUCAUCGUGCUGGGGAUAGAGCAUUGCAAUUAUUGCUCUUCAACGAGGAAUCCCUAGUAAGCACAAGUCAUCAGCUUGUGCUGAUUACGUCCCUGCCCUUCGUACACACCGCCCGUCGCUACUACCGAUUGAAUGGCUUAGUGAGACCCUCGGAUUGACGUUCAUCGGCUGUAAAAGGCUCUUGUUUGUUGAAAAGUUGGUCAAACUUGGUCAUUUAGAGGAAGUAAAAGUC